AUCAGCUGUUCCACACUUCCCGACCUGGCCAUUAAUCACACCACCCUUGCCGCGCCGCUCUCGUCCAAAACCCAGCGGCCACGGCGAUAUCUCCUCCCCCUUCCCUCCGGCAGCCGGCGGUGCCGAUGCACCGCAUGGCUCGCCUCCCGCUGCUGCCUGCUCUAGUGCUGGCACUCGCCUCCGCGCUGGCCCCGUCCGUCGUCGCCGACCCGCAGGCCACGCUGCUCAACCUGGGGUGCAGCCAGUACAACGCCACGCCCACGGCCGCCUUCCUCGUCGCCCUCAAUUCCACCUUCGCCAAGCUCCGCGCCAACCUCUCCGCCGGGGGCUUCGCCACGGCGUCGGAGCCGCGCGCCGCCGCGCCGGCGUUCGCGCUGGCGCAGUGCCGCCCGUACGUCACCGGGAGGGACUGCGUCGCCUGCUUCGACGCCGCGGCGGCGCGCAUCCGCGCCUCCUGCGGCGCCGCCAACGGCGGGCGCGCCAUCCUCGACGGCUGCGUCAUACGGUACGAGAGCGCGGCUUUCUUCGACCAGUCCACGCUCCCCGGCAACACGCAGCUCUGCAAUGGCUCCGCCGUGGCGGGCGGCGGCUUCGACGGCGCGGUGCGAGCGCUGAUCGGCGACCUCGCGGCCGCGGUGCCGCGCGCCCCGAGGCUUGCCGCGGCCGCCGCGGGCGCCGGCGUGUACGCGAUGGCGCAGUGUGUGGAGACGGUCGGGGCGGGGGGAUGCGCGCAGUGCCUGCAGGUGGCUUCGAGGAACAUUGGCGGCUGCUCGCCCAAUUCCGACGGCCGCGCCGUGGACGCCGGAUGCUUCAUGAGGUACUCUGAUAAGCGGUUCUUCCCAGCUAAUGCCACCGUAGACUUGGCGGCAUACUUGCUCUCUGGAAAAUCAAGAGGGAAGGGAGCCAUCAUAGGAGGAAUUUUGGGAGGUGUAGCCUUCCUGUUGCUUCUAGGGUUACUAGCUUUGUUGUGGAUCCGUCGUUCUAGGAAGCUGCAGAAGCCUCGGAGAGGUGAUAUACUUGGAGCAACGGAACUACAAGGUCCAACCAGUUUUUACUAUCAUGAUCUUAAGGUUGCAACCAAUAAUUUCAGUGAGAAAAAUAAACUUGGAGAAGGUGGUUUUGGAGAUGUAUUUAAGGGUUUGCUGAAAAAUGGGAAAACUGUUGCAGUAAAAAGAUUGACAGUAAUGCAAACCAGCAGGGCCAAAGCAGAUUUUGAAAGUGAGGUGAAGUUGAUUAGCAAUGUUCAUCACCGAAAUCUUGUAAGGCUUCUUGGUUGUUCUCGCAAGGGUUCCGAAUGCCUGCUUGUUUAUGAAUAUAUGGCGAACAAUAGCCUUGACAAGUUCCUCUUCGGUGAGAGACGCGGAACACUUAGCUGGAAGCAACGAUUUAACAUCAUUGUUGGCAUGGCUCGUGGCCUUGCAUAUCUUCAUGAAGAGUUCCAUGUGUGUAUCAUACACCGUGAUAUUAAAUCUAGCAAUGUUCUUCUUGAUGAUGACUUUCAGCCUAAGAUUGCUGAUUUUGGUUUGGCAAGGCUCCUACCUGAUGAUCAUAGCCAUCUCAGCACUAAAUUUGCAGGAACACUGGGUUACACUGCUCCUGAGUACGCAAUCCAUGGCCAACUAUCAGAGAAGGUUGACACAUACAGCUUUGGCGUAGUCAUUCUGGAAAUAAUAAGUGGUCGGAAGAGCAAUGAUACAAGGCUGGAGCCUGAAACACAGUACCUACUUGAAUCGGCAUGGAAGUUAUAUGAAAAUGAGAACUUGAUUAGCUUGGUGGACGAAUCGUUGGAUCGUGAAGAAUACAAGUCAGAAGAGGUAAAGAAAAUAAUAGAGAUAGCACUUCUGUGCACUCAAUCAGUGGUUGCUUCAAGGCCAACGAUGUCAGAGGUGGUUGUGUUGUUGUUGUCAAGAAAUUCUUCAGAAUUACAGCCCACAAGGCCCACAUUUAUUGAUUCAACAAGUAGAGUGCGAGGUGAAACAUCCUCCUCAAGUUCAUCCUCUGCAUCCAGGGCCACUGUCUCUAUUUCACAGUUUUCAGCCAGGGGUGACACCACCCUGCACUUUGUUGGAAACAAUGUCAUAUCUGAUAAGUUAUGGUGGAUGCGACAACAGUUGCUGAUACAAACUGCAAAUGAGAGGGAAGAUCGGAAACCAAUAUAUAGAGGCUUAUGUGGGUUCUGCAUGGGCUAAUAACCUUUCCAUGGCAGCAAUAUAAUUGUAUAUUUGGGAUUGCUCAGAAAGUUGGAGAUGAUUUGUCGUCCUACAGACUGACUACUAAAAUUCUUCAAUGCUGUCACAUAGGUAGUGAGCAUCCAAGUUGUUGCACACCAAUAUAUUGUUUCACAUUAUGUGAUGGAGACAAUUCAUCCUGUAAUUGAUGUAGACAGAUUUUCAAUUAUCAUACUACCUGUCUAUAGUAUCAGCAAAUUAUUGUAUCAUAGAGCUCUUAUAUGAGUAUGUCAUUAAACUAUUGUAUAUGAAC
RNA transcript from Triticum aestivum (bread wheat), 2481 nucleotides. It is a transcript of the gene named cysteine-rich receptor-like protein kinase 2, with no coding region annotated. Lineage: Eukaryota; Viridiplantae; Streptophyta; Magnoliopsida; Poales; Poaceae. The transcript is spliced from 9 exons. The record is from RefSeq and is a predicted model, not a curated record.